RNAcentral lists this ribosomal RNA (487 nucleotides) under uncultured Turicibacter sp. Its description in RNAcentral is "bacterial SSU rRNA". It matches the Rfam family "Bacterial small subunit ribosomal RNA", at positions 8 to 507 of the family's 1533-position model. Lineage: Bacteria; Bacillati; Bacillota; Erysipelotrichia; Erysipelotrichales; Turicibacteraceae. The record is from RNAcentral.
AGAGUUUGAUCCUGGCUCAGGAUGAACGCUGGCGGCGUGCCUAAUACAUGCAAGUCGAGCGAACCACUUCGGUGGGAAGCGGCGAACGGGUGAGUAACACGUAGGUGAUCUGCCCAUCAGACGGGGACAACGAUUGGAAACGAUCGCUAAUACCGGAUAGGACGAAAGUUUAAAGAUGCUCCUGGCAUCACUGAUGGAUGAGCCUGCGGCGCAUUAGCUAGUUGGUGGGGUAAAGGCCUACCAAGGCGACGAUGCGUAGCCGACCUGAGAGGGUGAACGGCCACACUGGGACUGAGACACGGCCCAGACUCCUACGGGAGGCAGCAGUAGGGAAUCUUCAGCAAUGGGCGAAAGCCUGACCGAGCAACGCCGCGUGAAUGAAGAAGGCCUUCGGGUUGUAAAAUUCUGUUAUAAGGGAAGAAAGGUGAUAGGAGGAAAUGACUAUCAAUUGACGGUACCUUAUGAGAAAGCCACGGCUAACUACGUG